UACGUAGGGGGCUAGCGUUGUCCGGAAUCAUUGGGCGUAAAGAGCGUGUAGGCGGCUGGGUAGGUCCGUUGUGAAAACUCGAGCUCAACCUCGAGACGCCGAUGGAAACCCUCCAGCUAGAGUCCGGAAGAGGAGAGUGGAAUUCCUGGUGUAGCGGUGAAAUGCGCAGAUAUCAGGAAGAACACCCGUGGCUAAGGCGGCUCUCUAGUACGGUACUGACGCUGAGACGCGAAAGCGUGGGGAGCGAACAGG
Molecule: ribosomal RNA, 252 nt
Filed under: uncultured bacterium
Lineage: Bacteria
Description: partial 16S ribosomal RNA
Rfam family: Bacterial small subunit ribosomal RNA
Source: RNAcentral